ACUGUAGCCUGAUAUUGGGUUUCGGUGUUGCAUGCACAGGAUAGAUGGGACGCUGGGAAACUGAGGCUUUGGCCUUAGCGGAGCGGACGUUGGGAUACCAUCCUUGCGACAUUGGAAUUCUAACCUGCGCCCUUGAAUCAGGGCGGGGGACAUUGUCAGGUGGGCAGUUUGACUGGGGCGGUCGCCUCCUAAAAUGUAGCGGAGGCGUUCAAAGGUUCGUUCGAUCUGGACGGAAACCAGAUGAAAGAGUGCAAACGCAUAAGCGAGCCUGACUGCGAGACUGACGGGUCGAGCAGAGACGAAAGUCGNNNNNNNNNNNNN
Molecule: non-coding RNA, 321 nt
Filed under: Subdoligranulum variabile DSM 15176
Lineage: Bacteria; Bacillati; Bacillota; Clostridia; Eubacteriales; Oscillospiraceae
Description: Bacterial large subunit ribosomal RNA
Rfam family: Bacterial large subunit ribosomal RNA
Source: Rfam by way of RNAcentral